RNAcentral lists this unclassified non-coding RNA (282 nucleotides) under plant metagenome. RNAcentral's name for it is "partial contains small subunit ribosomal RNA, internal transcribed spacer 1, and 5.8S ribosomal RNA". The record is from RNAcentral.
UUUCCGUAGGUGAACCUGCGGAAGGAUCAUUGUCGAAACCUGCCCAGCAGAACGACCCGCGAACUUGUAUAAACAACCGGGGGCGGGGGGCGUUCUCGCCCCGUGCCCCCGAACGGCGGGGAGACACUCGUGCCUUCUUGCCGAACAACGAACCCCGGCGCGGUCUGCGCCAAGGAACUUCAAUUAAAGAGUGCCUCCGGUCGCCUCGGAAACGAUGCGCGUGUCGGAGGCGAAUCUUGUACAAAACCAUAACGACUCUCGGCAACGGAUAUCUCGGCUCUC